GCCCAAGUGGCGGAAUUGGUAUACGCGCGCGACUCAAAAUCGCGUGGGAGUAAUCUCUUGAGAGUUCGAGUCUCUCCUUGGGCA
RNAcentral lists this transfer RNA (84 nucleotides) under bacterium. RNAcentral describes it as "tRNA-Leu". It matches the Rfam family "tRNA". From Rfam's summary of the family: Transfer RNA (tRNA) molecules are approximately 80 nucleotides in length. Their secondary structure includes four short double-helical elements and three loops (D, anti-codon, and T loops). Further hydrogen bonds mediate the characteristic L-shaped molecular structure. tRNAs have two regions of fundamental functional importance: the anti-codon, which is responsible for specific mRNA codon recognition, and the 3' end, to which the tRNAs corresponding amino acid is attached (by aminoacyl-tRNA synthetases). tRNAs cope with the degeneracy of the genetic code in two manners: having more than one tRNA (with a specific anti-codon) for a particular amino acid; and 'wobble' base-pairing, i.e. permitting non-standard base-pairing at the 3rd anti-codon position. The record is from RNAcentral.